RNAcentral lists this ribosomal RNA (274 nucleotides) under uncultured bacterium. RNAcentral's name for it is "partial 16S ribosomal RNA". It matches the Rfam family "Bacterial small subunit ribosomal RNA", at positions 523 to 796 of the family's 1533-position model. The record is from RNAcentral.
AUACGGAGGGUGCAAGCGUUACUCGGAAUCACGGGGCGUAAAGCGCGCGCAGGCGGUCUUUUAAGUUGGAUGUGAAAGCCUACGGCUCAACCGUAGAACUGCAUCCAAAACUAUUAGACUAGAGUGUGGGAGAGGAAGAUGGAAUUAGUUGUGUAGGGGUAAAAUCCGUAGAGAUAACUAGGAAUACCAAAAGCGAAGGCAAUCUUCUGGAACACUACUGACGCUGAGGCGCGAAAGCGUGGGGAGCAAACGGGAUUAGAUACCCUAGUAGUCC